GACGAACGCUGGCGGCGUGCUUAACACAUGCAAGUCGAGCGGUAAGGCCCUUUCGGGGGUACACGAGCGGCGAACGGGUGAGUAACACGUGGGUGACCUGCCCUCAGCUCUGGGAUAAGCCUGGGAAACCGGGUCUAAUACUGGAUAUGACUCCAUGACGCAUGUUGUGGGGUGGAAAGCCUUGUGCGGCUGAGGAUGGGCCCGCGGCCUAUCAGCUUGUUGGUGGGGNGAUGGCCUACCAAGGCGACGACGGGUAGCCGGCCUGAGAGGGCGACCGGCCACACUGGGACUGAGAUACGGCCCAGACUCCUACGGGAGGCAGCAGUGGGAAUCUUGCGCAAUGGGCGAAAGCCUGACGCAGCGACGCCGCGUGAGGGAUGAC
Molecule: ribosomal RNA, 382 nt
Filed under: uncultured bacterium
Lineage: Bacteria
Description: bacterial SSU rRNA
Rfam family: Bacterial small subunit ribosomal RNA
Source: RNAcentral